Ornithodoros turicata is the source of this 381-nucleotide long non-coding RNA. RefSeq lists it as uncharacterized. NCBI's taxonomy places the organism in Eukaryota, Metazoa, Arthropoda, Arachnida, Ixodida, Argasidae. The transcript has 3 exons. The record is from RefSeq and is a predicted model, not a curated record.
UUGUUCCGUAAUUUCCGCUUACGUUGUAUUGCGGAACUGCUUCAUCUCGUCAGUUGUCCACCCAUAAAAACAGUGCACACGACAGGUAGCAGGAAGCACAUCAAACGUCUGUAGAAAAGAUGAAGUUCCGCGAUGCCGCGCUUUGCUUUUUCUGGGCAGCUGUUGUUAGAACAUUCGCCACAGGCGGAACCAGUCAAGAUAUCCCCGAGGAAAUCACGUUUCAGGUCUACGUCGCUUUGGAUAACGUUCAGCACACCGCUUUCAGUGACCGCAAUAAAGGAGAAAAGUACGUCAGCUUGUUCUUCAACGCAAUAAAUCGCCAAUUUCAAGUUAUGCAGGAUCCUAGAAUCAAGUUCGAAGUCGUAAUGUAUCACGACCAGG